This 791-nucleotide ribosomal RNA is filed under the name Escherichia coli. Its description in RNAcentral is "partial 23S ribosomal RNA". It matches the Rfam family "Bacterial large subunit ribosomal RNA", at positions 964 to 1756 of the family's 2925-position model. The record is from RNAcentral. Lineage: Bacteria; Pseudomonadati; Pseudomonadota; Gammaproteobacteria; Enterobacterales; Enterobacteriaceae.
GGAGAAUGUUAUCACGGGAGACACACGGCGGGUGCUAACGUCCGUCGUGAAGAGGGAAACAACCCAGACCGCCAGCUAAGGUCCCAAAGUCAUGGUUAAGUGGGAAACGAUGUGGGAAGGCCCAGACAGCCAGGAUGUUGGCUUAGAAGCAGCCAUCAUUUAAAGAAAGCGUAAUAGCUCACUGGUCGAGUCGGCCUGCGCGGAAGAUGUAACGGGGCUAAACCAUGCACCGAAGCUGCGGCAGCGACGCUGAUGCGUUGUUGGGUAGGGGAGCGUUCUGUAAGCCUGCGAAGGUGUGCUGUGAGGCAUGCUGGAGGUAUCAGAAGUGCGAAUGCUGACAUAAGUAACGAUAAAGCGGGUGAAAAGCCCGCUCGCCGGAAGACCAAGGGUUCCUGUCCAACGUUAAUCGGGGCAGGGUGAGUCGACCCCUAAGGCGAGGCCGAAAGGCGUAGUCGAUGGGAAACAGGUUAAUAUUCCUGUACUUGGUGUUACUGCGAAGGGGGGACGGAGAAGGCUAUGUUGGCCGGGCGACGGUUGUCCCGGUUUAAGCGUGUAGGCUGGUUUUCCAGGCAAAUCCGGAAAAUCAAGGCUGAGGCGUGAUGACGAGGCACUACGGUGCUGAAGCAACAAAUGCCCUGCUUCCAGGAAAAGCCUCUAAGCAUCAGGUAACAUCAAAUCGUACCCCAAACCGACACAGGUGGUCAGGUAGAGAAUACCAAGGCGCUUGAGAGAACUCGGGUGAAGGAACUAGGCAAAAUGGUGCCGUAACUUCGGGAGAAGGCACGCUGAUA